GGGGUCCCUUUAUAUAGAUGGAGAGCGUAACUAAUUGACAGCGACGUCUGUAACCGUUUGGUAGUGGACUGUUCAGAGCCAUGCGGAGUUUGUUACGGAGAGUAGUGGCAUCAGGGGUUGUUCAGGGCCACGUGAAGUUUGUUACGGAGAGUGGAGUGGUGUCCGUUGUCGUGACUUGCCAGAGAGUGGUAGAGCCCAGAGAGUGGAGUGGUGUCUGUUGUCGCGACUUUUCAGAGAGUGGUGGAGCCACACGGAAUCCGUUGCAGAGAGUGAAGUAGGAUAGUGGCCAUUGUCGUGACUUGCCAGAG
This 308-nucleotide long non-coding RNA is filed under the name Elaeis guineensis (African oil palm). RNAcentral's name for it is "long non-coding RNA (EGUI_LNC059407)". Lineage: Eukaryota; Viridiplantae; Streptophyta; Magnoliopsida; Arecales; Arecaceae. The record is from RNAcentral.